This 253-nucleotide ribosomal RNA is filed under the name uncultured bacterium. Its description in RNAcentral is "partial 16S ribosomal RNA". It matches the Rfam family "Bacterial small subunit ribosomal RNA", at positions 524 to 776 of the family's 1533-position model. The record is from RNAcentral.
UACGGGGGGAGCAAGCGUUGUUCGGAAUUACUGGGCGUAAAGGGCGCGUAGGCGGGAUGGCAAGUCGGUCGUGAAAUCCUUCGGCUCAACCGAAGAACGUCGAUCGAUACUGCUGUUCUUGAGGGUUGCAGAGGAGACUGGAAUUCCCGGUGUAGCGGUGAAAUGUGUAGAGAUCGGGAGGAACACCGGUGGCGAAGGCGGGUCUCUGGGCAAUUCCUGACGCUGAGGCGCGAAAGCGUGGGGAGCAAACGGG